AGUGAACGCUGGCGGUAGGCCUAGCACAUGCAAGUCGAACGGCAGCACAGUAAGAGCUUGCUCUUACGGGUGGCGAGUGGCGGACGGGUGGGGAAUACAUCGGAAUCUACUUUUUCGUGGGGGAUAACGUAGGGAAACUUACGCUAAUACCGCAUACGACCUACGGGUGAAAGCAGGGGAUCUUCGGACCUUGCGCGAUUGAAUGAGCCGAUGUCGGAUUAGCUAGUUGGCGGGGUAAAGGCCCACCAAGGCGACGAUCCGUAGCUGGUCUGAGAGGAUGAUCAGCCACACUGGAACUGAGACACGGUCCAGACUCCUACGGGAGGCAGCAGUGGGGAAUAUUGGACAAUGGGCGCAAGCCUGAUCCAGCCAUACCGCGUGGGUGAAGAAGGCCUUCGGGUUGUAAAGCCCUUUUGUUGGGAAAGAAAAGCAGCAGGUUAAUACCCCGCUGUUCUGACGGUACCCAAAGAAUAAGCACCGGCUAACUUCGUG
RNAcentral lists this ribosomal RNA (492 nucleotides) under uncultured bacterium. RNAcentral describes it as "partial 16S ribosomal RNA". It matches the Rfam family "Bacterial small subunit ribosomal RNA", at positions 29 to 507 of the family's 1533-position model. The record is from RNAcentral.